Molecule: transfer RNA, 77 nt
Filed under: Amycolatopsis deserti
Lineage: Bacteria; Bacillati; Actinomycetota; Actinomycetes; Pseudonocardiales; Pseudonocardiaceae
Description: tRNA-Thr
Rfam family: tRNA
About the family: Transfer RNA (tRNA) molecules are approximately 80 nucleotides in length.
Source: RNAcentral
GGCCGACUUAGCUCAGCUGGUAGAGCAGCUGUCUUGUAAACAGCAGGUCAGGGGUUCGAGCCCCCUAGUCGGCUCCC